RNAcentral lists this ribosomal RNA (424 nucleotides) under Verrucomicrobiota bacterium. RNAcentral's name for it is "Verrucomicrobia bacterium partial 16S ribosomal RNA". It matches the Rfam family "Bacterial small subunit ribosomal RNA", at positions 355 to 776 of the family's 1533-position model. The record is from RNAcentral. Lineage: Bacteria; Pseudomonadati; Verrucomicrobiota.
UGAGGAAUAUUGGUCAAUGGGCGCGAGCCUGAACCAGCCAAGUAGCGUGCAGGAAGACGGCCCUAUGGGUUGUAAACUGCUUUUAUGCGGGGAUAAAGGAGUCCACGUGUGGAUUUUUGCAGGUACCGCAUGAAUAAGGACCGGCUAAUUCCGUGCCAGCAGCCGCGGUAAUACGGAAGGUCCGGGCGUUAUCCGGAUUUAUUGUGUUUAAAGGGAGCGUAGGCCGCGUUUUAAGCGUUUUGUGAAAUGUAGACGCCCAACGUCUGCAUCGCAGCGCGAACUGGGACGCUUGAGUACGCGCAACGAUGGCGGAGUUCGUCGUGUUGCGGUGAAAUGCUUAGAUAUGACGAGGAACUCCAAUUGCGAAGGCAGCUGACGGGAGCGGCACUGACGCUUAAGCUCGAAGGUGCGGGUAUCAAACAGG